RNAcentral lists this small nuclear RNA (321 nucleotides) under Salvator merianae (Argentine black and white tegu). RNAcentral describes it as "7SK RNA (ENSSMRG00000002050.1)". It matches the Rfam family "7SK RNA". From Rfam's summary of the family: 7SK was discovered as an abundant small nuclear RNA in the mid-70s but a possible function has only recently been suggested. The record is from Rfam by way of RNAcentral. Lineage: Eukaryota; Metazoa; Chordata; Lepidosauria; Squamata; Teiidae.
GGCUUUGAGGGCAAUCUGGUUGUGACAUUUAUCACCCUGUUGAUUGCCAGGGUUGAUUUGGCUGAUCGGGUUGCCCAGGUGGGUGUCCCCUUCCUCCCUCACCACUUCAUGUGCACUAGUCAUGAAACUGCCCACUCAGUGGAAAGAGGACGACCAUUUCAGACAGAAGAAGUGUAUGAUCAAGGGUAUGCAGUAGCUGCAUUCUCCUGCUAGCACCUCCAAAGAAGCGCAAUGUCCAUUUGCAGGAGACAUAGGAUGGUUUCUGAAAACACCGGUAUCUGAAAUAGUUUCUGUUUUAUUCUUAAGAAAUUAUAAAUAGAU